Molecule: RNase P RNA, 425 nt
Filed under: Granulicella sp. 5B5
Lineage: Bacteria; Pseudomonadati; Acidobacteriota; Terriglobia; Terriglobales; Acidobacteriaceae
Description: Bacterial RNase P class A
Rfam family: Bacterial RNase P class A
About the family: Ribonuclease P (RNase P) is a ubiquitous endoribonuclease, found in archaea, bacteria and eukarya as well as chloroplasts and mitochondria. Its best characterised activity is the generation of mature 5'-ends of tRNAs by cleaving the 5'-leader elements of precursor-tRNAs.
Source: Rfam by way of RNAcentral
GCAGGCGGCCGGACGAUCGCUGCCAGACCCGAGCCUCGGCAAGGGAAUGGGGGAGGAAAGUCCGAACUCCGCAGGGCAGUGUGCCGGAUAACGUCCGGGAUGCGCGCUUCAAGGCGCGUAGACGGCCAGUGCAACAGAAAAUAGACCGCCUUCUCGCAAGAGACGGUAAGGGUGAAACGGUGGGGUAAGAGCCCACCGCGUUGGUGGUAACACCAACGGCACGGUAAACCCCACACGGAGCAAGACCAAAUAGGCAGGGAGAGCGCCGCAACCACUUCUGCGGCGAGCGCGCGACGGCCCGUCACGCCCAGGAUAGUGGAGCUUGUACCGAAACCUGCGGGUAGGUUGCUGGAGCCAUGCCGUAAGGCAUGGCCUAGAGGAAUGAUCGUCUAAAACAGAAUUCGGCUUACGGGCCGCCUGCACAA